GCUGGGUGCAGUGGCCCACACCUGUGAUCCUAGCAUCUUGGGAGGCUGAGUCAGGAGGGUCGUGAGUUCAAAGCCAGCCUCGGCAAAAGCGAGGCACUAAGGAACUCAGUGGGACCCUGUCUCUA
This 125-nucleotide small RNA is filed under the name Marmota monax (woodchuck). Lineage: Eukaryota; Metazoa; Chordata; Mammalia; Rodentia; Sciuridae. The record is from RNAcentral.